UUUUUAUGAGAGUUUGAUCCUGGCUCAGGACGAACGCUGGCGGCGUGCCUAAUACAUGCAAGUCGAACGCUUCUUUUUCCACCGGAGCUUGCUCCACCGGAAAAAGAGGAGUGGCGAACGGGUGAGUAA
This 129-nucleotide ribosomal RNA is filed under the name Enterococcus faecium. RNAcentral describes it as "partial 16S ribosomal RNA". It matches the Rfam family "Bacterial small subunit ribosomal RNA", at positions 1 to 113 of the family's 1533-position model. The record is from RNAcentral. Lineage: Bacteria; Bacillati; Bacillota; Bacilli; Lactobacillales; Enterococcaceae.